AGAGUUUGAUCAUGGCUCAGAACGAACGCUGGCGGCGCGCCUAAUACAUGCAAGUCGAACGAGAAUGUGUAGCAAUACACAUGUAAAGUGGCGAACGGGUGAGGACUACAUGGGUAACCUACCCUCGAGUGGGGGAUAACCAGCCGAAAGGUUGGCUAAUACCGCGUACGCUUCCCGGACUGCGGUUCGGGAAGGAAAGCGAUACCGUGGGUAUCGCGCUCUUGGAUGGGCUCAUGCCCUAUCAGCUUGUUGGUGAGGUAACGGCUCACCAAGGCAUCGACGGGUAGCUGAUCUGAGAGGAUGAUCAGCCACACUGGCACUGCGACACGGGCCAGACUCCUACGGGAGGCAGCAGUAAGGAAUAUUGCGCAAUGGGCGAAAGCCUGACGCAGCGACGCCGCGUGGGGGAUGAAGGUCUUCGGAUUGUAAACCCCUUUCGGGAGGGAAGAUGGGAUGGGGUAACCCAUUCGGACGGUACCUCCAGAAGCAGCCACGGCUAACUUCGUGCCAGCAGCCGCGGUAAUACGAAGGUGGCAAGCGUUGUUCGGAUUUACUGGGCGUACAGGGAGCGUAGGCGGUUGGGUAAGCCCUCCGUGAAAUCUCCAGGCUUAACCUGGAAAGUGCAGAGGGGACUGCUUAGCUAGAGGAUGGGAGAGGAGCGCGGAAUUCCCGGUGUAGCGGUGAAAUGCGUAGAGAUCGG
This 700-nucleotide ribosomal RNA is filed under the name uncultured bacterium. RNAcentral's name for it is "bacterial SSU rRNA". It matches the Rfam family "Bacterial small subunit ribosomal RNA", at positions 8 to 700 of the family's 1533-position model. The record is from RNAcentral.